GCCCCUGUAGCUCAAGGGUAGAGCAACGCUUUUGUAAAGCGUAGGUUGUCCGUUCAAAUCGGAUCGGGGGCU
This 72-nucleotide transfer RNA is filed under the name Cytophagales bacterium. Its description in RNAcentral is "tRNA-Thr". It matches the Rfam family "tRNA". Rfam says of the family: Transfer RNA (tRNA) molecules are approximately 80 nucleotides in length. Their secondary structure includes four short double-helical elements and three loops (D, anti-codon, and T loops). Further hydrogen bonds mediate the characteristic L-shaped molecular structure. tRNAs have two regions of fundamental functional importance: the anti-codon, which is responsible for specific mRNA codon recognition, and the 3' end, to which the tRNAs corresponding amino acid is attached (by aminoacyl-tRNA synthetases). tRNAs cope with the degeneracy of the genetic code in two manners: having more than one tRNA (with a specific anti-codon) for a particular amino acid; and 'wobble' base-pairing, i.e. permitting non-standard base-pairing at the 3rd anti-codon position. The record is from RNAcentral. Lineage: Bacteria; Pseudomonadati; Bacteroidota; Cytophagia; Cytophagales.